UUGCGACCGCAUCACGUUGAAACACUGGAUCCUAUACGAUCGCCGAAAUUAAGGAACGUCGAGCCUUGUCAGUACCUAAAUGAAUGACCACUUGGGAAUACCAAGUGCUGUAAG
Acanthosepion pharaonis is the source of this 114-nucleotide non-coding RNA. NCBI's taxonomy places the organism in Eukaryota, Metazoa, Mollusca, Cephalopoda, Sepiida, Sepiidae. The record is from the annotation of a GenBank genome assembly.